Aphanomyces astaci is the source of this 78-nucleotide non-coding RNA. NCBI's taxonomy places the organism in Eukaryota, Oomycota, Saprolegniomycetes, Saprolegniales, Verrucalvaceae. The record is from the annotation of a RefSeq genome assembly.
GGGAAAAUAGCUCAGUGGUACAGGUAGAGCAUCGGUUUUAUAACUCAAAGGUCGUGGGUUCGAUCCCCAGAGUCCCCG